ACGCGAAGAACCUUACCCAGGCUUGAACAGCGAGUGACCAUCGACGAAAGUUGACUUCCGCAAGGACACUCGUAGAGGUGCUGCAUGGCUGUCGUCAGCUCGUGUCGUGAGAUGUUGGGUUAAGUCCCGCAACGAGCGCAACCCUUGUCUGCUGUUGCCAUCACGUUAUGGUGGGCACUCUGCAGAGACUGCCGGUGAUAAACCGGAGGAAGGUGGGGAUGACGUCAAGUCAGCAUGGCCUUUAUGUCUGGGGCUACACACGUGCUACAAUGGCAGAUACAAACCGUCGCGAGACCGCAAGGUGGAGCUAAUCGGAUAAAGUCUGUCUCAGUUCGGAUAGCAGGCUGCAACUCGCCUGCUUGAAGUUGGAAUCGCUAGUAAUCGCGGAUCAGCACGCCGCGGUGAAUACGUUCCCGGGCCUUGUA
Molecule: ribosomal RNA, 425 nt
Filed under: uncultured Acidobacterium sp.
Lineage: Bacteria; Pseudomonadati; Acidobacteriota; Terriglobia; Terriglobales; Acidobacteriaceae
Description: bacterial SSU rRNA
Rfam family: Bacterial small subunit ribosomal RNA
Source: RNAcentral